This 621-nucleotide ribosomal RNA is filed under the name uncultured bacterium. Its description in RNAcentral is "bacterial SSU rRNA". It matches the Rfam family "Bacterial small subunit ribosomal RNA", at positions 876 to 1501 of the family's 1533-position model. The record is from RNAcentral.
GGGAGUACGGUCGCAAGAUUAAAACUCAAAGGAAUUGACGGGGACCCGCACAAGCGGUGGAUGAUGUGGAUUAAUUCGAUGCAACGCGAAAAACCUUACCUACCCUUGACAUGGCAGGAAUCCCGAAGAGAUUUGGGAGUGCUCGCAAGAGAACCUGCACACAGGUGCUGCAUGGCUGUCGUCAGCUCGUGUCGUGAGAUGUUGGGUUAAGUCCCGCAACGAGCGCAACCCUUGUCAUUAGUUGCUACGAAAGGGCACUCUAAUGAGACUGCCGGUGACAAACCGGAGGAAGGUGGGGAUGACGUCAAGUCCUCAUGGCCCUUAUGGGUAGGGCUUCACACGUCAUACAAUGGUACAUACAGAGGGCCGCCAACCCGCGAGGGGGAGAUAAUCCCAGAAAGUGUAUCGUAGUCCGGAUUGUAGUCUGCAACUCGACUACAUGAAGUUGGAAUCGCUAGUAAUCGCGGAUCAGCAUGUCGCGGUGAAUACGUUCCCGGGUCUUGUACACACCGCCCGUCACACCAUGGGAGCGGGUUCUGCCAGAAGUAGGUAGCUUAACCGCAAGGAGGGCGCUUACCACGGCAGGGUUCGUGACUGGGGUGAAGUCGUAACAAGGUAACC